RNAcentral lists this transfer RNA (72 nucleotides) under bacterium. RNAcentral's name for it is "tRNA-Cys". It matches the Rfam family "tRNA". From Rfam's summary of the family: Transfer RNA (tRNA) molecules are approximately 80 nucleotides in length. The record is from RNAcentral.
GGCGGCGUAGCCAAGUGGUAAGGCAGGAGUCUGCAAAACUCCUAUACGGCGGUUCGAUUCCGCCCGCCGCCU